CCCGCGGGCUGCCGUGGCCGCUGAAGGCGGGGAGGGGAGAAGCGGCUGAAGCGCGGAAGUUGCAGGCGGCUCGCUGCGCAGACGUGCCGCUCAGCCUGCGAGUGAAGCCGGCACCGCGCCGGGGCUCGGCUCUCGCUCCCGCGGGGGCAGCGCUAUCCGGCGCCUGCUGACAACGCCCCGGGGGGACCCCACCGCCGCUUCCCACGGGGAAAGAUGAGACCGCCGCCUCUUGGUCCCCCUCACCGCUGGGACAGCUCCUGCUUUUCCCGCAGGAAAAGACGGCAUCAGCCGGCACACCCUCGGAGGGCAGGAGAGGACCGCUCUCCUCCAGUAGCGCAGCGGGCACCACCGGUCGGAGCCACCCCCGGCGCGCAGAGAGCCCGCGCUGCCAACCACAAGGACCAGAAUGAAGAGCAGGGAGAAGGCUGAGCCAGAGAUGACAGAAGGAGAGCAAAUAUAUUGGCACAGGGGCUUUGCAGUGGGUGCAUUAUCCUCCUGUGACAGCAGAUUGCCCUCUCAAGGUAUUUGUUCAAAGACAUUACUGAAGAUAAUUCUUGCUGAAACAUGAAGUUUUAGAUAGUGUUGGUUAAAUGUGAUUUUUAUCUGUGUGCAAUGAAAUAAGUUAUGAUUAGGUCAUUUAGAUUUUUUUUUUUUAAUGAAAACAUCCUUGGGAUCUUACAUAUGCAAUCUAUAGGACAUGUUAUUUAUCUGUAAAUAAAUUGAAGAUAGAAAAAACUAUGUGGAAGCCAUGGGGGACAGAGGUACUUUUCUUGUACAGGUGCUUGGGUGACUGCUACAGUUAAUGUAGUAGGCAUUAUAAUUACUUGUUCUUAUGACCUUUUCAUCAUGAAGCCCUAAGUUCUGAUCAGAAGACGGACAGUACCAUGAUCCUUGUGGAACAUUCAUGGGAAAAGAUGGGCAGAAAUGUGUGACUCUGUGAUUCAGAGUGUUGAGGCUGUUCGUGGCUAUAGGAAUUGGGUCUUGAUUUUUCAGAAGGAUAUCAUGUUCCCCAUGCAGAGCAGCUGCUGUUACUGAUGACUCCUACUGUUUGAACACAUGGAACACAGCAGCAGUGGCUACACAUGAUUAUAUGUGUAUGUAUAUAAGGGAAAGAGUAGGUUGGAAAUAAGUUUGGAAAUUCCUUUGCCUUCUGGACAAGGAUACAUUAGCUUCAGAAAUAAUCCACUCUUUAACAAGUUGGAAAAAUGAUUCAGUUACAGCUGGUGGGAGGCUGAAGAGUAGUGAGAAUCAGUUGCAGAGACAUAUUGUAUGCCUGCUAACUCACAUUCCUGUUUUCGGUCUUUUUUAUUCCUAACUCUACAACUAUUUUAUUUUAGUAUAGUAGGUUUGGGGAAAAAAAAAAUCAUUGAACAUAAUACUUUGCUUGCUAAGCUAAUCUUUGAAUAAUUUCUGUCCAGAGAUAAUUUAUUUUUGUUAUUCAAAUUUACUCCAAUGGCUUGUUUGAGGGGGUCUUAACACUCUUCUGCAGCAUAUGUGAGCUGAUCUUAAUAAACGGGCUAUUGUAGAGUUUAUAUCUCAACAUGAAAUUGAGUUUUUACUUGUAAUUUAUUUAUAUUAAAACUUUCCUGGAUUGUCAAAAAACACCAGUAUUUUUGCAUGAAUUCCUGCUGACCUGAGAAAUUGUUUAUGCCCUUGCUUAAGUCCAUCCUGUUUGUCUUAAAAGUGAAAGAAGUCUUGGCUGAUUCAGGGCAGUAGCUUUUUUGAAGAGUGUGUAGUACAUUUUCAUUGCCUUUUAGCCUAGAUGCAGCUACCACAGGAUGCAAAUGCUCUCCAUGAAAUUCCCUAGGUACAUGGUGAGUUAACCUGCUCUGAGUUCCUGUUGUGUUUCUCUCAGUACUCCAGCUAGUAGCAGCCAUUGCUGUUGCAGACAUGCACAGCAGACCAGAAUUCGUUUCCUUUAGCCAUGUUCCUCUUGGUGGCAAGAUGCUGUUUCUAGCAGUCCAAGUGGCAUUCACUUCCUUUCAAGAGAGGUCCUUUUGGCAGCACUCUCACCAGGUCACAAGCAAGUUUCAAUGGAAUUUCUUGUUGCACAGGUUGUUCAAUGUGCCUCCCAUACUCCCCAGACAAUGGCUGUAUUUUGCUGGUUUUUAACCAAGUAAGUUUCCUGUUAAACAAGAUUAUGGCUUAAUUAAGAUGCAAAGAAUUUGAUCCAGUAUUCACUUUGUUAAUGUAUUCUUUGUUUCAUUUUCCUCCCAAUUUUCCUAUGCUAUCAACCUCUAUUUGGAAAAAAAUAGUUUGAGAGUGUAAACAAAGCAAAGGAUUUAGAUGAGUUUGUGCCCUAGUAACCAACUAAAACCUCCUAUUUUCAUUGAGAUUAAAACUGUGUUUGAACUCUCCACUAAUGGUAAAUCCAUGGUUAUCAAACUGUUCCACAAUACCGUGGGAGUGAAUAAGGCAACUAUUUUUUGGAGACAUUGCUUGUGAUUGCUGGAAAAGAGAGGCAUAUUAGUAAAACAUUCAGAAGAUUUAUAGCUUGUUUGCUGCUGCAUAGGAGAGAGAGUAAGUGCAGAUUACUGAGGGUUCUCAGUUAUGAGGGCUAUGAAUUAAAGUUGUUAUCCAUAAUUUAUUAUUCUCCAUGUGCUUCCAGUCUACAUUUAGUUAGAGAGAAAACAUACACAGGCAGAGUAGGGAGGAGUGACCUUGAAAGAGUAAGACUUGCUUCAUAUAAUUACCAUCUUCCUAGUGUCCCUGAAAACAAAUACAGAAUCUUACAGUUAUUUAAAUACUUGAUUUCUAUCUUGCUUUAAGAAUUGGAGAUACAUUCAUCAAAACAGAAAAACUGCAGCAGCCCUCUUGCACAACUUCUGUGCCUUAACCAUGGGCUUCUGUGGAAACUUUGGAAGACUAGAAAAAGCAACAAUGAGCCCUGGAAAAACUACCAGCAUAGUAGAAUCAACUUCUUCUAUUCUUGCAAGUAUUUAUAUACAUUUUUCAUAACUGGUGCUCCUUGGAUCUAGUGCACAGGUCAGACCCAGUACACUUCAAUGUGUUUUUCUGAAGUUGGAUAAGAAGAAAAACCAGGAGUUUGAUAGAUGUACUUUUGUUUGUUACAUCCUAGGACAUUUUUCACACUGAUGUAGAUGUAUGUAUUUAGAGAGAGAAAGUUGUACAACAUUGCUUAAAAGAGGAAAAAGAAAAUGCCUAUAAUUUCUUUUAAACUCAGUUAAGGUAAACUUUAUUAUUAAAAUACAUUGUUUAAUGGUCUACCCUUUAGGCUGUAUAAAAGAAGCAUAUCCGCUUCUCUUCAGUAUUUCAUUAUUUUCGUUCCCCAAAAUUUUAAAUAUUUAAUAAUUUAAAGGAAUUGUUUCCUGUGCAUCUUCUUUUUUUCAGUGUCUUCAAAUUAGCUUCUCAACUCCUGCCCGUGUAAUGCAUGGCGCAAAUUCUGCAAAAAAUGAGUAACUUCAUCCACAUAUAGAUGUGUAAGGUGGCUGACUUUGUAGGUAAUCAUGAUGUAAUUAGGUAACUGAAUUGUUAUGUUAGAGUCUGCCUAGGCAGAUUGAACUUCACCAUUUUUUAAAUUGUCAUUAAUGUUCAUAAAAUGUGGAUAUAACAUUUUAUUACUUGGAAAUAAUUUACAUUUAUUUCCUAGUUAUUAAUUUUUAAAUUUAUAGCACAAAAGUAACAGGAAGAGAUCUGUCUGAACAUUCUAGAUUCUUCUGACACAUAUCUGAGAAUGGAAUAAAUUCCUACCAAAAGCAACAUCCUUGUCAAAUGCAAGAAAAUCAUUGGGUAGAUCAAAAAAUAAACCAAAAUGCUUUUUUUUAAUUUGAAGAAGAUUCCCAAUGCUGCUAUAGCAACAGUUCCAAUAAUUUGAACCUUGUGAUGCACGAAAGAAAGGGGUGGAUUUCAGCAGUAUUGAGGAACUCAUUGAAAAGUGAACCUUAGAGCCAUUGCUAAUGUAUUGCCAAAGGACAGAGUUCAUCUCCUGAACUCCAGACAAACAGAAGAACUCAGAUUCAGUUCUCAUGGAUGGAUUAAGACUCCUCCAGAGCAAUUUACCUUGUAUAUUUUUUUAACACAGUGCAGUCACAGAAGUGUUGACAUUGCUCCUUGAUUUAGUUGAGAUUUAGAAAUGAAGUUUCUCACCACCACAGUAGUGAGAUUUGUUUGGCAACUUGUUAACACAUUAAAAAAGAAAAUAACUGGGUUUAUCAUAAAAAUGUACUCCUGAGCUUCACAUACAUACCCUUUGCCCCUGUAUUUGUUGCCUUCCUUUUUUUUUCUUGCACUCCCUUUCUUUAGCUAAUAGUCUGAAAACAUUUAUGCAUGUGCUCCUUGUAGGUUUGAAAGUAUUCCAGAUGUGGCUGCUCAAAUGCUUAAGUUCCUGUGUUUGCUGAACCUUUAAGGACUCCAGUUGUGGUGACAGUAGUGUUUUCUUACAGUGUUUUAAGGCCGAAUAUCUGAAGCUAUCUAGAUAUUUGGCUUCCCCCAAAUCUAAUAGAAAUCAGUUUCCUUAAAUACCUUUGAAAAUCUGCACUCUCAAUCAUUUGGGGCAGGAACAUUCUUUUCCCUUUUUAAAAACAGAACAGUAUGCCAACUUUUGGUUGUGUUUUAGCAGCAAUAAUAAUACUAAAUGCAAUCACUGCUGCUUUUUUCAUAUGUGUAUGUAUCUUUUUGCUUUUACAUUAUUACUGGAGGACUUGUUCCAUCUGGAGAAGAGAGGGUCUGGGAAAACAUAAUAGCAGCUUUAUAUGGAGAGGUGAGGAGGUGAUCAAGAAGCUGGAGACAGGUUCCAAAUGGUGGAGCAUGGUGGGAGGGCAAGAGGUAGUGGACAGGAGUUCAAGAGAGGUUCAAACUGGAUACAAGAAAAAAACUUUUUCCCCAAGAGGACAGUAAGGCAGUGGAACAGGUUGCUCAACAAGGCUGUUCUGUCUCUGUCUUUGAAGGAUUUCAAGACCUGGUUGGACUAAUUUGUGAGCAACCUGAUCUGCCCUCAAUAGAGAUCCUGUGUUUGACUUCCUGAGGUCACUUAAAACUGAGCAUUGUUAUAAUCCUAUGAGCAUACUAUUUUAAUUAGAGUGGUUUUAAAAUAACACUACUGGAACAGAUAAAAAUGGCUACUGCACUCAGAUUGUGAAUGAAUUAGUCUAAUCAAGCAGUUCUGUGUGAACUGCAGGGUCAAACUCUUCCUUGAUACUGUAAGUAUGUUUCUCUAUAGCUUCUGAAUCAUUGUAGUGAUGCCACAUCUAACGACAUGCAGGUGCUUGGAUAUAUUUACUGGAAAGACAGGUUGAUUUUGUUUUUGAUGUCUAGCUGUUGAGAUAAAGAGGUUGGCAAUACCUUCAUAGACCGUAAGAGAGGCAAGCUCAGUAUUGCUAGGAUUUUAACUGUUAAUAAAUUCUUCAGUUUCUGACAACCAGCAAAUUUUUUUUGAAAAGCAGAACUUAGUCAAUGUCAUUUUCAAAUGAGACUUCUAACACCUAAGAUGUAUUGUACUAUAACAUUUUUUUCUACAUAAGAUUUUCUUUAAAUCAUCUCUCGUGGUUAAAGACAGAUGUACCUUUAUUCCAUACUCUAAAGCAGUGUGUUUUUAUAUUAUACCAUGAAAAAAAUCUGCUUCCAUCUUUCAAUUCAGAAAGCCCCAUCAAGAUGUGCUUGUUUUUGCCUCAGAUAAAAAUAAAGAAAGAGAGGGAGAGGGAGAGAAGCUACAGUUUUUAAGUUCCUUUUUUAGAGAUUCUGAUUUCAACAGCUGUGGAGAGUAAUUACUAUAAAGACUGUAGUCCCAAUUGUUUUGAGUUGAUGUUGUAGCCCUACCGUAGCAGACACUCCGCAGAUGCAGACUGAAGCACACAACUUGAAACAUAUGGCAAGAUAAAAUCUGAAAGCUAUACUAGCUAGCUACCAUAAAGAUUUUGUGAGGGAAAAGAACUUUAAAUCAACAUAGACUUUUAAGGGAGGACAGCAAAAACAUUUUAGGACAGAAAUGAGGAUACCUCUCUAACACUUCUGCAUCUGUAGCUGAAAUCUCUGGAAGAAGAAGUAACUAUAUUUUAUUCUAAUUGAGAGAAGUUAACAGUUUUUUUGAGACUUCAAUAUAACACUUAUAAUCUCAAAGUUCAAUUAUUGCACAUUCUAUUAUUCCAAAGUCUUUGGUACUGUAUCAGUAUUCCAAAGAAGGCAGAAUAAAAUUCCAGAUAUUACCAAUAAGAAAACAGAUUUUAACUCAAAUAAGUAUUAUUAGCGAGUAAGUCACUGAGACAAUUUCUGUCAUUUGGAAAUCAUUUAGCUGAUUUCCACUGGAGGCAUGAUAGAAAUAAUGUAGCACCUGCCUUUUCCCCUGAUAGGCAAGUUUAGUUUUAAUUUCUCUGGUAGAAUGCAUUACUGAAGUGCAAUUGCCAUUCAUUUAAUUUUAAGCAUUCCAGGGUAGAAACAAUUAUAUGCAUCUUAGAAGGCUCAUAGAAGGCUUAUAAAUGUGAAUAUCUACAUCUAUAUUUAUACAAAUAAAGAAUAUAUAUAUUGGCAUUGAUGCUUACGAUGCCUAAAAUCUGAGAUUAUUCCUUUCACCUGUAGAUAUAUACCUCCACCACACAUGGACAUUAAAUACAUGAACAGAAAGUAAGAGUUUGUUAUCUGUGCUGGUCUUCCUACUGUCUUGGUUUUCCAUUGUCAGCUGCUUCAUACUCUGCCCUGCUAGCCAUCAUUAUCACCCUGAUUUUCCAUCUUUCACCCUUCUACCACUCGUCUUAUGUAAAAAACUUUCCUGAGGUGCCUAGUCAUGUUGAAGCAGGUCUGACAAGCAGCAGCAGGCAUCCCAGAAACACCUUAACAUGUGGAUGACACUUAACUGUAAACUAUACAUUUCUGUUUUCUUCCAUAUAUUUUGAUAUAUGUAUUUCUUGUUUUUAUAAAACAUUUACAUGUAUAACAUCCUGGGAAAACAGAUCCUCCUGAAUACAGUACAAUAUUUUUUUUCUGUUUCAAUACUGUUUGUGUAUCACACUGAUGCUUCUAGAACUGUCUGGGUGUCUAGUGUGUGGUUUGCAGCAACAUCUUCCUUUUGCAUCUAAGCCUUUAAUAUCUUAUACUUCUGGUUAAUGUUAAUGGCACAUGAGUGGGAAAGGUCUCGUAAUGCAAUGUAGUGUUCCUAUCUGUGUAUAUUAAGUGCCUGAAUGCAUCUUGUCUUUACUAGAACAGUUUUUUUCUUGUGAGAAAAAAAAAAAAAAUUGCUAUUCAUUGACCUGUUAUCCAUUGCACUUUUCAGAAACUUGCCCUUAAGAGAUAGCAGGGUAUGGGGCUGUGUACAUCUGAAACACACGUUCACAUCUUCAGAGAUAAGAAAUGGCAUGCAUCAUGACCAGCAGAUAUUUCAUAUUGGCAAAGAAUGAUUUUAAGUCAGAUUGGAAGCUGCUAGAUGCGAUGAAUGACAACGACGACUCCAGAUAUCCCCGGGAAAAAAAAAAGAAAAAAGGAAAUGCAUACACAUCAUGUCAGAAACUCUUACAGCAUUCUGAGUAUGCCUGUAAAUUCAUGUGGAAUGCAUCUCACACCUGGUGUUUGGUUGAAAGAUGUACCACCGGAUAACUGUGGCAGAACAGAAUAGUGUGUGGAAAGUCUUUACUUAAAAUGCCAUGGUCCAUUACUGUUUCCUCGGUAGACCCUAGAAGCAUUACAUAGUCUUUGACUUAGGUGAAAUACCUGGCUUUUUAGGAAUCUAUAGUCAAGGAUUUGAAUGAAUCCCUCGGACAUUCUACUAAAACUUUUUUUUAACCUGAGCAGGAAAAAAACAAUGUUUCCAAAAACUCCGUGAUGAAGUACAGUGAAAUGGUCUUUGCAAAUAUAUGUAGGAAAAGAGGUGAAGACUCUGCUCUGUGCUUGACUGAGUCCAGAGAUGCCAGUUGGUUAAAUAAAUGUAUAUGCAUUGUCAUUAUUAUUAUUAUUAUUGUAACUAUUAGCACAUUAAUUAUAAUAAUUUUUAAGGUUCCUAGUAGAUAUAUUACUCUACUAUAUUUACCAAGACAUCCUGUUUGUUAAGAAUUUAACUACUGUACAAUUUUAUGGGGGGAAUAAAUCUUGUAAAACAGAUGAAAAAGGAGCUGGGGAAAAGAAAAAUUAAUAUGGAUUUUUUUCUUCAUAGUUUGACCUAGAUUACAUCAUCCACGUAAUUUACAGAGUCUGCAGAUAUCCUGACUGAGAGCUCAGUUCAAACUGCUGCAGAAGGCUGGAGCAAGCCUUUCAUGAAAACACAGUCCUGUGUGUUGUGCUUGCUGUGGUUGGGAGUUUACUACAUGGUGUUCCAGGGCAGAAAGCUGAAUGCAGCACUUCCUAUUUUUCAUUGCUUGUAAUUUGCAUCUGCCUUUGAAUUUGAGAAGUGAGUCCAUGUGUUUCUGGAUUGUGCUUUUCUGUGCUCUCUUGCAAUUCUACUUUUGAUGUAGCUGCAGUAUGAAAGAAAGGGCUUUGGAGUAAGGAUUAGUGCCCUAUCCUGCACAAUUAAUGUCAUGCACAUAUCUGGACCUGGUUCUUGUUCUGUGGAAGUGGGCACGUAGAGUCCUGGUCACUCAGGCUUAGGGAAGUAAUGGUAACUGUGUUUGCAGGAUUGAAAGGAAUGUGCCACACUCAGUGAACUCCUGUUUGUUAACAUAUGCACACAGAAGGUGUACAAGAGCAGUGUUCCCUUUCCCCUUCCUGAAAGUCUUGCUUUCCUGGUAUCUUAGAGGGAAAAACAAAGGAUUUAAAAAUUAAUGUCUUUUUGGAGAAGUAAUUUUAAGCAACACACGGAUUUUACACGUAUUUUUAAGUGAGCAAGUUUUUUUUCAUUGACAUAAAUAUGUAAUAGCUGUGUUAUUUGUGUCCUUGUUUUCGCUCAUGGUGAGGACAAUAGGUCCUUGUAGCUCAGACCUCAUUUUCAGAAAGAAGUUCAGGCAUAGUCACACCCAAUCUAGUCAUGUAAUCAGCAUGCUCUGCAAUAUUGCUAGUUUAGGGGCGGUGAAGUUUAUAAAUCAGCAAAACAGUAGUAUAAAGCAAUGUAUUUUUAAAAGGAAAGCACUGUUUAGACAAAUAAUGAUUAGGUGAGAUGAAAAUGAUGUUACUCUUAACAAAACAAUUUACUGGAACAUUUUGAAGAUGGAAUUGCCAGCAGGCAAUUUAUUUUGCUUUAAAAUAAGCUUCAAAAUUGCCUUCUGCCUCCGUGAUGGCAGGAUGAGGGAGGCAUGUAUACAAAACCAGGAAUAUAUGCAGAUAAAUAUAUGUACAUGCACUUACACAUCAACACAUAUCCCCAUGCAUGCAUACAUUUGUGCAUAGAGAUAAUGCUUUCCUUUAUAACAUUUAUGUUCAGCUCUUUAAACCUGACACCUGUUGUAGUAACAACUCUGUCUUGGAAUCUCACGGCAAUUGCAUAUGGGAAGCAAGUCUCUUCUAACAAAAAUAAUAAAAAGUUCUAAAACAUUUUAUUAAGACAGGUUGAGUAUUACUGAGGUCAGAUUGACAGAGCCUUUUCCAAUCUCUAUUUCUACAUAUGGAGCAUUUCAUGUAUAUGGAAAAAGAAACAAACCCUUUUGGUUUGCAAGUUGUACUGUAGGGGCUAUUCCACACUGUAGUCAAUAAAUUUGGUAAAUUCAUUGUUGAGGUGAGAAGAGUAAAGAUGUAGAACGGACAGUAGAGGACAUGGAGCACAAAAUUGUGAAAAUUUCAGAGGAAAAUUGCUAAGAGUCAGGUUUUCCAGCUUAGAGCUUAGGCUCUUAUAUGUUCACCAUUGCAUGCUAUUCCCCUUCUUAUUUUAGAGACGUGCACUUCUUGCACAAUGUUAGUACUGAAAACUGAAAUCCUUUAAUAUCAAUUUAUCCAGUUUCCUAUGUUAUGUCCAUGGUCUUCACACAUGCUGAAUUUAGCACAGACCUGGGACUUGAAAGAAGUUUUGAAUAUUUUAGAAAGAAACUAUAACACAUAUGAAAGUGCACAUAUAUGCAAAAUCCCAUGAAAAGGUUCCCUGAGUGUACUGAGGAUGGGUGGGGAGGCUCCUGACAGAGGAAACAGGGCAAUGGGAUUGGUUGAGGAUGGCAGGGGCAUUUGGCAACUUUUUUCUCUAGCUGUUGUUGAAACCAUUAUUCCUGCUUUUCCUCCCAAAGCUGAGAUUUAGGUGCUCUCUGAGCAUCUCUCACUGAUUUUUGAGUUUGUGUGAGGGAUCGUGGGGUUUUGUUCAUGAUCAUCUGAUCUAACACUUCAAAGGGCUUAUCCCCACAUGUGGAUAUCUGAAAAUACUGUUUCAGAAGCACACAAGCUAGGUGGAAUCAGGCUGGCCAAAUGUACAUUAUAGGGAAGAAGAAACACUGUUGUCUUGCUUGCAUGUAUGCAUCAUCCCGAGCACAGAAUGUUGCUCCAGAAAGGCUACACUGCCUCAGGUAUUCAGGAGAGUCAUUGCAGUUUAAGUGAUGUUAUUCAAAUCCCCUAAAAUCUGCAUCUUUUUCUUAUUGCUUGAGAUACAGUAGUACAUUAGUGAGGUAAAGGCAGAGGUGGUGGUCCAAGUGCAGGGUUGUUUGAAUGAGACAUACCAAAGUAGUGGGACCAGUACAAAGAGGAAGAUGACAGCCUAUCUAGAAAAAUAUCUGUCUUGGCUUAUGAUCUACCAGAUAUAGAAGUACCCAAAAUAUUCCCACCAUGUUUCCUCCUCCAACACUCAGUUAUACAAGAUAAGCUACACCUUGUUAAGAAAAACUACAUUAAGAUGAGGUAAUAGAUCACCUUGCAGAAUAUCUCUGAUUAUCAUGCUGCCUUUAUGGCAUAUAAGCAACUUAUCAAAAAUACUUGAUUUCAGUGUCAAUCUUUACAUCUUCAAAGAACUGGAAAAACAUGAAAUCUCCUAACCCAACUGGGAGCAGGAAGGAUAUAUAUUAUUCUUAUAAUAUUUUGCUUUUAUGAGUGAAAACAUUAAAGCAAGUUGCAACCCUUCUAUAUUUGCAGAAUAAGGACUUCUGUGUCAUGAAUCCAGGUGGUCUAACCUGGUACUGCUAAUUGUCUCACCAAGGGCAAAAAGGGAAUCAAUGUCAGAACCAAAAUGGGAAUGCAGACAUUCCAGGUGACAGUUGCAGAAGUAUUGACGUGGUAUGUUUAUUUAGCACUUCCAAAAGUUUUAUGUAAGUCAAUUCAUAGAGAGAUAUGCAGAUAUCUUGGGGUGCAUAUCAACCUAUGCACCUUGCCUGUUCCUGUCUGAGCUCCUCACCUUUAUACCCUACUCCAUUUAAUACUAAGUGUUUGUAUUUGUGGUUCAAAUGCUGCCUACAGAGCCUGUAAGACCUGUCAGCACUGGCAGUUCUGUUGCUGUGCUGUGCCACUGCCAUAUUUCAUCCUUUGUCAGCAGCAGCUCUAAGGGUCAGUCCUCCCUAUUUCCAGCAGUUAGUGCCAUCAAAGAUUAGAAGAUUAGGUACAAAAUCAGGACACCAGGAAAGGAUCCCUCUGACACUAACUCCUCUGGAGUUUUCCUACAUGACACACGCACUCAUGCUGGUUGCUUGGAUUUACCUACACCUUCAGCAGCUUAAGCACUCUUCUGGGCUAGAAGAUUCCAGAGCCACACUGUGGGGAAGUGGCUGCUUAUGGCAUAAUUCCCCUGAAAUUAGGACAUAAAUUUUGGUUAGGAUGCCCAGGAUUCUCCCUGAUAAGUCUGCACAAAGCAUCUGUGCAAGCUGAGGGUUCUGCCUGCAGCAUUUUAGUGAUAGGAACAAAUGUACCUCACCAAGAAAUGACCCUUGGGACAACAGGAAUUUGUCAGAACCUCGUAACACAGCUGUUUCUGGUGUGGACAUCACAUUUAGCCUCAGAAAGUGAAGUUCUUUAUCAGUUCUUAGGCAGCCUACAGCAGCUUUAUGAACUUAAGGGAAAAAUCAGAGAGUUCUUCGAAGACAUGAGCAAUACUGAUACUGCACUCAAGGCAAUAAUUGAGCUCUGUACCAACUUUCUCUUUUAUAUUGUUUUGGAACAAUGAAACACCCUAUAUGCUAGACUUUGGAGAUAUUUCUUGAUUUAUUUUUCUCCUAUUGUUUUAUCAAUACUUUUAGCAUGGCUUUUUGUCAAAGUAUAGAAAAGACCCUCAUCUUUCAAUUCUUUCUGUAGGUCUCUGACUUAAAGUAGAAAUAAUGCUGGGCUGAGGGACAUUUUUUGGUAAAUCCUAUUGCUUUUAAAAUACCCAAGUUAUCUGUUGCCAGCACAGAACAGAUACUAAGAAGAGGUGGAGUGGAUUUGUAGCAAACCAGUAAAAGAAGUCUUUCUUAUAACAUCCAAUUAGAAGUCUUUGUUGUAACAUAAGAUUAUGUUUACAUUGUAAUUAAGCUUACAUAUCGUCCUGAUAAAAGGGGCUUAAUGUAAAUAUUUUUUCUCAGAGAGGGAACAGCUUCACUGCAUAGUAUACAAAGCACACAGAAAUCUGAGCUACUUUUAAACACUCUUGACUGGGUAGAUGCCUGUACUACUGCGGUUGGAUUGCUUCUAUACUGAUUCACAUAUCUCUACAGUAUAGAGAAUUAUUCUAUAAUGCCCCUGAGUUAUAGACUGCAUGCAUGGACACCCCAUACCAGAUGUACUACAUACAGAUGUACUGUAAUAGUUUUCCCAUCUGGUCACAAAGGUUAUUGUGCAGAUUUUGAUUUUUUCCCCAAAAUAAUGACCAAAAUUGUAGUGUGACUCAGGAAAUUAAUACCAGGCGAGUUUCAUCAAAAUACUUGGGAGUUUUUGCCAUCAGCGUCAGUAGAGCUGGAAUUCCAUCCACUGUGCUUUUUAGCAAAGAUACCCUUGGAUAAACUGCAUGGGCAUGUCCAGUGGGAAUGCUGAGCAAAUCAUGCUGCUAAGAAAUAAGAGAAUAAAUCUUCUUAGUCCCCUCAGAAGCACACAUCUCGCUCCGUUCUAGGAGGCUAGUGGAAAGAUCUUUGCCCCAAGUUACAAACAGAUCCUAAAAACCUGGGAAGCCCCCUGGGAAGUCUUACACUGGGCCAGCCACAGAGAUUGUCCUCAUUAUUAAAUUGCCUCCCUUGAAGUAAUUUUGAGGAUUAAUAGAAAAAGUUUAAUAUUUUUCAUAGAUAAAAUGAUGACAAGUAUCAAACCACUGUCAGUGUUGAAUGCUUUAUUCAACAUUGCAGCUACUGUAGGUACAUGUUUGAGUAUCAGCUUUCAUUCUAAAUAGAAGUUUGCAUUUUGUGUCGUUUUCAUGUUUUUCUUUGCAAAUAUCAUCUGAUGCCCUUUUUAAACGGUAAGGCCAAAGCAUGAAAUGUUUCUCUUGUAGUGAAGCCCUUGUAGGGCUCUUAAGGCUUACAGAGCCCUUUUAGGUGGCGUUUCAGCAGCUCUGCACAUUUUCUGGUGCUUAACUCACUUUUUGAAAUCUGAAGAGAUAACAAUGAAUAACAUAAAAGGAGAAAGAGAAACAGGCUGGAGAAAUUCUUCAAAGCACAACUCUAAACAAAAGAAAUAUGGGGCCCUUGUCCUGUCUGCUUCACAUUCCUGUUGUAACGAUUUCAGUUCCUUCUGGUUUCCUUAUCUCAGGAAAGAGAUAGCAUUGCUUGCUUACCACACACAAGGGCUGCGGGAAGUAAUUGAUUUAGACAUACAGGCUGCUUUUGAAAGCCUGGAACAUUAUUAAUAUGAACCACUGCCUGCC
Long non-coding RNA from Corvus hawaiiensis (hawaiian crow), 13600 nucleotides. RefSeq lists it as uncharacterized. NCBI's taxonomy places the organism in Eukaryota, Metazoa, Chordata, Aves, Passeriformes, Corvidae. The record is from RefSeq and is a predicted model, not a curated record. The transcript is spliced from 2 exons.